AUACCCGCUGAACUUAAGCAUAUCAAUAAGCGGAGGAAAAGAAACCAACAGGGAUUGCCCUAGUAACGGCGAGUGAAGCGGCAACAGCUCAAAUUUGAAAUCUGGCUCUCGGGCCCGAGUUGUAAUUUGUAGAGGAUGCUUUUGAUGCGGUGCCUUCCGAGUUCCCUGGAACGGGACGCCAUAGAGGGUGAGAGCCCCGUCUGGUUGGAUGCCAAAUCUCUGUAAAGCUCCUUCGACGAGUCGAGUAGUUUGGGAAUGCUGCUCUAAAUGGGAGGUAUAUGUCUUCUAAAGCUAAAUACCGGCCAGAGACCGAUAGCGCACAAGUAGAGUGAUCGAAAGAUGAAAAGCACUUUGAAAAGAGAGUUAAAAAGUACGUGAAAUUGUUGAAAGGGAAGCGUUUAUGACCAGACUUGGGCUUGGUUAAUCAUCUGGGGUUCUCCCCAGUGCACUUUUCCAGUCCAGGCCAGCAUCAGUUUUCGCCGGGGGAUAAAGGCUUCGGGAAUGUGGCUCUCUCCGGGGAGUGUUAUAGCCCGUUGCGUAAUACCCUGGCGGGGACUGAGGUUCGCGCAUCUGCAAGGAUGCUGGCGUAAUGGUCAUCAACGACCCGUCUUGAAACACGGACCAAGGAGUCGUCUUCGUAUGCGAGUGUUCGGGUGUCAAACCCCUACGCGUAAUGAAAGUGAACGCAGGUGAGAGCUUCGGCGCAUCAUCGACCGAUCCUGAUGUUCUCGGAUGGAUUUGAGUAAGAGCAUACGGGGCCGGACCCGAAAGAAGGUGAACUAUGCCUGUGUAGGGUGAAGCCAGAGGAAACUCUGGUGGAGGCUCGCAGCGGUUCUGACGUGCAAAUCGAUCGUCAAACAUGGGCAUGGGGGCGAAAGACUAAUCGAACCUUCUAGUAGCUGGUUUCCGCCGAAGUUUCCCUCAGGA
RNAcentral lists this ribosomal RNA (927 nucleotides) under Fusarium sulawesiense. RNAcentral's name for it is "partial large subunit ribosomal RNA". It matches the Rfam family "Eukaryotic large subunit ribosomal RNA", at positions 21 to 978 of the family's 3401-position model. The record is from RNAcentral. Lineage: Eukaryota; Fungi; Ascomycota; Sordariomycetes; Hypocreales; Nectriaceae.